AGAGACCACUUGUUAGGCCUCAGAUAAGUCCCAGAAUCUAAACUCAGUAAAAGCAACACGGGAGGCAGAAGGAAUCUUGGGGCAGUCUUAAAGGUAGAGAGAAAAAGAAAACCUGAAAGCUGAUUCUCAGAGCCUCAAUCACGGUCACCGGGGCCAGAUUCUUUGUGACUAUGUAUCCAACUGGAAGCCCGAGUUAGGUCCAAUGGCAAGAAUGCUGCGCCCGGAGAGAUCUAAGGACAGUCCUCCAAUGACAUUCACAUCUCACAGUGGUCACCACUGAGUGGAAUGAAGAAAUCCAGCAACGACAGGAAAAGACAAAAGAGUAGAUUCAAUUUAGACUCGGACCACCUAGGGGUGAUGGGUGGAGAAGGCAUCACUAAAUACAGAGCAUCUGUCUUCAAAUGCAAAGAGUUCAGUUGGAUUUUAAGAAAAUUACCUUGAAGGCUGCUAAACAAUGAAGGCUCAGUAAGGUCAUGAAAACUGCCAGAAGGAUGGUGGCUAAGUUCCGCACGUCCCAUAUGGUCUCUACCAGAGGAAUACUGCCGACUUGCCAGUCAUAACACAGGGUAACGGGUGCAAGCAGAAGCCACACGUUGAAGGCCAAGAGGUAGGAAUAGGUUGGCAGUUACAAAUCACCAGUGACAGCCAGAGAAAGAGCAAACAAGUGAGAGAGGCAGAGUGAGAGGAAAAGAGAAUCUCGAGCAGACUCUGAGCUGAGCAUGGAGCAUGAUGUGGGGCUUGAUGUCAUGACCCUGAGAUUAUGAUCUGAGCCGAAACCAAGAGUUGGACACCUAACAGACUGAGCCACCAAUGCACCCCAGGAGCGGGAAUACUUCAGUGUUGUUUCCCAACUCUUUUUCUCUCUGUUGGUUCAUUUAAUACAAUGUUAAUGUAUAAAUUGUGGGGUACACACUGAAAGCUUAAUGAAGUCCAAGAUUGAUUAUUUAACAAAAAUCAAAAUCAAAACACUGCCUCAUUCCUUUUAGCCUUGGGGCUGAGAAAUUGUCUCAUGAGAGAAUGCCAACUCCAUGGGAAGACAACUGGCACAAUGUUGGCUUUGUUCUUUCACAGAGCUUCUCAGCUGAUGCGAUCUGCUUAUUAGCUCAGGAAAGAUUCUCUGUGACUUGACUUUAGAGAAGGUGGAAUCAUCAAACAGAAAAAUCACAAUGUCAUUCAGUUACUCUCCAGGUCUUAAAAAUUACUUUUUAAAAAUGGUAUCUCUCCUUCUUGAUAAACUAGUUACCAGCAAUGAUUAUAAAUGGCUGCUAAAAUAUUAAGUGAAAGCUAAUAGGGUACUUCACAAUGGAUGGAUCAGGCUAAAUCAGAUGCCUAGACCUGACUAACCAAUUUUAACAUCACAGAAAGGGAGACUAAUAGCCAGAUGUCCUCCUGCUGGAGAGAGAUGUCACCACCUACGAAGUAGUCUUGUUCCCCGAAAAAAAAGAAAAAGAAAAUCAAACUUGAAUCUGAUCAAGCCCUUUACCACCAGUUUACAUCAAAUACAGAAAAACCCAGAACAUGCUACAAGACACCACAGGAAUGCAAUGUGACAAAUCCAGAAUGUUGCCAUUCCACAGAACAAAUGAUGUCUGGUUCUUCCACAAAUACACUGUACGAGGGUUAACAGGGACGGGGGACAGGAGAGAAGAAGAGGGCACCUGUAAGUCAGAUGAUACCUAAGAGACAUAUCAAAGUGCAGAUAUUGUUUAGGUGCUAAUUCAAACAAUCCAUUAUGAAAAAUCACCACUUAUGAGCAGAAAAAAUUGAAACACUGAUUGGAUAUAGGAUCCUGGAGAAUCACUGCUCAUCUUUUUUUUUUUUUUUUAGAUUUUUAUUUAUUUAUUUGACAGAAAUCACAAGUAGGCAGAGAGGCAGGCAGAGAGAGAGGGGGAAGCAGGCUCCCUGCGGAGCAGAGAGCCCGAUGCUGGGGCACCUUGCCAAGGUGCCCCCCAGGCAAGGAUUCUAAUAGGGACUGGGGUCAUCCUAGAGUUGCGCCUCACACUGCUAGAAGCCAUGCUAGAGCUUGGUGUCUCCUAGUACACAGAUUUGGGUGAAGUUUGUUAUGUUACUUUAACCCACUGUGCCACCCAGGCGCUCCAUCAUUGCUAAUUUUUAAAGUGUGAUAAUGGUAUUGUGGUUAUACUUUUUAAGGAACCUUAUCUUUCAGAAACAUACUAAAAUAUAUGCAUAUGAAAUGCUAAUCUGAGAUUUGUUUUAGAAUGAUGGACUGGGAGUAAGGGUACACAAGUGGGUGGGGGUAUGAAUGAAACAAGAUCGGCCAUGAGCUACGAUUGUUGAAACUGGGUAAUGGGUCUGUAGAGGUUCUUUAUGCCAUCUGCUCUACUUCUGUAUGUAUUUAUUAUCCAUAAUAAAAACUAUUUUUUCUUAACUAGGCAACAGAAAUGCAACAGGAAUAUCUCCUUAUGUCUAAAGGCAGCUUGCGCAUGGAAUAGCUGCAAGUGCUAAUGUCGAUUCUUUUUUUUCUUUUUUCUUUUUUCUUUUUUUUAACCGCAGGGUUAAAACUCAAGAUCCUGAGAUGAAGGUCUGAGCUGAGAUCAAGAUUGGAACGCUUAACCAACUGGGCCACUUAGGCACCCCACUAAUGUGGAAAUUUUAUUUUAAUUGCUAAGUUCACAUUUGGGCCUUGCCCAGCAAGUUGUCCUCCAUUUCUUGUUUUUUGUUUUGUUUUUUUUUAAUUUAUGUAAGUGAUUUUCACACGCAACAUGGGGCUCAAACUAACAACCCAGAGAUCAAGAGCUGCUUGCUCUUGGGGCACCUGGGUGGCUCAGUGGGUUAAGCCUCUGCCUUCAGCUAGGGUAAUGAUCCCAGGGUCCUGGGAUCGACUCCCACAUCGGGUUCUCUGCUAAGCAGGGAGCCUGCUUGCUCCUCUCUCUCUGCCUGCCUCUCUUCCUACUUGUGAUCUCUGUCAAAUAAAUAAAUAAAAUCUUUAAAAAAAAAAAAAAAAAGAGUUGCUUGCUCUUCCAACCAAGUCAGCCAGCACCCUAGUUGCUUAUAUUUUCUUUCUUUUUUAAGAUUUUAUUUAUCUGACAAGAGAGAGCAUAUACACAAGCAGGGGGAACAACAGGCAGAAGAAGCAGCAGGCUCCCCGCCAAGCAGGGAGCCCAAUGUGGGACUGGAUCCCAGGACGCUGGGAUCAUGACCUGAGCUAAAGGCAGCCACUUAACCAACUGGGCCACCCAGGCACCCCAUAGUUUCUUAUAUUUUCUAGACUUUUAAUAUUGCAUUGGCAAAAAGAAAAAAAUAAAGAAGAAUAUUUUUUUUCAGUUA
Molecule: long non-coding RNA, 3288 nt
Organism: Mustela lutreola (European mink)
Lineage: Eukaryota; Metazoa; Chordata; Mammalia; Carnivora; Mustelidae
Exons: 5
Source: RefSeq, a predicted model, not a curated record